ACCCCCCCCCCCGCCCCCAGCUCCGCCUGCGGGACGAGGAGGAGGAGGAGAGGAGGCCGCGCUCCCUCCCCGGUUCGAGUGGCGGCCGCAGGAUCUAAACUGAGCAAGGACUGGGAGAGCUUUACGCGAGCCUGACUCUGCUGUCUGCUGCUGAAGCCGGUGGAGGUCUUGAUAGAUACAGCUUGAGUGUGUUUGCAGCAGAUAGCUCAUCAAUGUUUAUUUAUUUAUCCUUGUUAAGCAGCACCCGAAAACUAACCAGCUAAGUCCUUAAACAAAAACCCCCAAUUUUCUUGGAGUACAGUGGUGUGUUUGCUGCUGUUGUAGUAUUUGGAAUAAAGAAGCCGAGCAGCACUGUAUCCUCGGAACCCCCCUCAGAUGUCUGUGCUGAACUACAGGAGACACGCUUUUAACAGCACUCACGGUUCUGUUGUGCUGAGGGCAUGAUAAAAGUUUGCGUAAAAGUAUUUCACCAGCAGACUGAAAGGCUUUUAGUCUACUUGGCAGGUUUUAUCCCCUUAGGUUUCACUUGUAUUUCAGCUCUGCGAACUAAAUACAAAGUAAAGAGAGUAGGUGGAUGUUUGAACUUGUGUUGCUUAGUGGUGGCCGAUUUGUCUCAUUCUCGGGGAGCAUGGUGGGAGUGAUACAGUUUUCAAUUAAAUUUGAGUGGGCUACUUGGGAAAAUCAUGUUGUUUCUGGCAGGUACCUAUCUGAUGAUUUUGCUUUGCGUCCUGUUUUUUCUCGUCUUUGUUGCCCUUGAGUUUUUCUGUGUCAGAAUUCAUGUGAGGUUCUCCUCUGUGUUCUCUCUGAAACUGGAAAAAUAUUAACUUAGUGAUUGUUUUUUAUAAAAACUCACAAUUCAGCUUUAAAGCCCCUUGUUUGGACUGCAAUGCCUUAAUCCAGCAAUAAUGCGAUUCUUAAUUAAAAAGCAUCCUGUCAGAUUCAGAGCCUGCUGGAAUUGGUAGAAAGAUUUCUGUGCUGAGUUUAAUACUGCCUAAUGUUACAUCUUCAGUGCUGACUGGCACCUGAGAUGCGUCAUCUGUGUCACAGGGAGCCACAAACGGUUCACCUGUUGCAAUGGUUCACACCUGGCUGAAGAUGUGAAUCUAAAAUCAAUCUGAAUUCUUAUGGUAUUUUUUAACAUGCAAUCAAUACAGCUGAAAUUAUAAUUUAAAAUGUAUCUUUUUCUCAUUAAGUGGUAUUAUUGUGCUCUCAGUUUUUAUACAUCGACUCUUUUCUCCAGUUUCUCGAGGUGCUUAUUCAGGAUUUAUUUCCUAGUUCUAUGAGUUUUUGAAAGGAAUGUUCAAACUGCUCCAAAUAUUACUACACGCUCAAGAGCAUUUUUAGUUGUGUUGCUGUUGAUGAUAGGAUCAGUCCCUGUGUCUUUGGUUUUGUUUUGAUCUACGCAUAACCCAGAUUAAAGGCAGAACUUUGGUAGGGUAACAUUUUGCAUUGUAAAUGAGCACACUGCUGAUGAUUUAAGUGCUAUUAGGAUGAUGAAGAUGUUUGCUAAUCUGAGGAAAAAUGCACUAGAGCAGUAGGAGGAACUUGAGUUAGGUGGCCACAAGUCCGUCAGUGUCUCCGGUGGAGUUCAGCUGAAGUUGGUUUGGGGGAGCAGUUUUCUGUUGUUCUAGUCAAAACCUUAACAGCUCUGUUGACAUCAGUCGGGUUCAGACUUAAGUUUUUCAGCGAGUCUUCACAUUUUGUAGUGUUUUUGGAAAGCAGGAGAGUAGAGUCCCCAUUCCGUUGAGCAAUUUGCUCGUUCCUUCCUGCAGAGCUCCUUACCCGCUGCCUCAGGGCAGCUUCUGGAAUCGCCAAAGCUGUUGGGGGCUUCCCAUCAGUGUGUGUCCUGGGCACUGUUUCCACACGGUUACAUCUGUAGUGAAACGUGAGUUUAUAUCAACGCUGUAAAUCCAUUUUAUUAGCACAGCUGACGCUUCUAACGCUUUGGCUUCUGAUUUAUCUUGGUGACAAGGCUUGGUGGGAAGCGCGACAGCUGCGGCAGCUUCUUGCUGGAUGAAUAAACGUUGUUCAUGUGAUAGUCGCCAGUCUCUUCAUCCAGGGCUAUCAGCCCUCCUAGAAUUUGUCACACGCUUGGUCCAAACCUCGCUCAUCUUCAGAGCAAGGAAAAGUGGUCCCCAGGAAAAGCCCUCACGUUAGGGCUGUUCUGGUAUCCUGAUGUUGGUUACGAAUGUGGAAACUUCUUGUUUUUACACCUAGUGAGCAAAGCUUUAUCGUCGGCUACUGAGUAGCUGCAAUUUACAGCAGCAAAACAAACAGAACAAAAACCCUAAAUCCUUUUGCUUGUAGAAUGUGUGUCCUCAGAGGAAAUGGUUUAACUGUAGGUAGAAAAAAUUUCUUGUUAGGAGUCCCAUUUCCAUCAGGAGUUGUUGGCGUAACCGAACUGACACAGCUCCUGCCGUGCAGAUUAGCCUGCUUCCUGCUGCCUUUGCCUUCGUCCCAGAUUGGCCUGGUGCAUCAGCCCUGCCUGCUUUUAACUGGGAAAGUUGAAAAGGGACCGUGCAUUCUUGGCUGGAGUGACAUUUUUAGUGCAGCACAACUAUAAAGCGACAGUAAUAUGUGUAUUUGUGUAUUUUGUUUUCCCUGGGGGGGGGGGGGGGGGGGACUGAAACUGCAACUGCACAGAAUGCAUUUUUCAAGCUUAUGCAGUUGAGGUUUCUGUCCAGAAUGGUCGCGAUACUAGCAUUGACUCAAGUGCAGUUGGCAGAGUGUUAAAAAGUAUUUGGGGGUGCAACAGUAAUUGGCAGCUACCAUCAGUUGGUGCUCCUGUUUCACCUAUCUGGAAAACAUAUUUCUUGCGUGGAGCUUGAAGACUGGCAUAUAUAGCACCAGCUGGGAGAAAAGGUGAUACUGUCAACAUGGUGCCUUUGACAACUCAAAGUAGACUUAAGGGAAAAAAAUGUAUCGUUUUGUUUUAAAUUUGUUUAGGUUUGGUUGAAAGAAUCAGAAAUGGGGGGGGGGGGGGGGGGGGGCGCCUUGUGCUGUGGGUGUGAGGAGAAGGGUUUGCUUGCUCUGCUUUCUGAGUGUCUAGGUCUGUUCUGUUCUUGUUCUGUCAAAACCUGUGGAGGACCCCAAACCGUUGGAAUUGCUUUGUUUUCUGAGAUUCAGCCUCCUGGUUUUAUGUGUAGCAGAGAAUAUGUGCGUGAUGCCAAGAAAUGCGUCAUGGGUGGGCACUGGGGGGAUCAGAAGUGGGCUACCUGGUGGAGCAUUUGGCUAUGGCAAAAUAAUUGUCUAAGGCUAGCACAGAUCUUUGUCUUCCCGCUGAUUGUACAGAAUUACAGUCUCUUAAGAUUAUUUCCUCAGCUGGGGCUGUAUACUUUUCAAGACUCUUUCUGUUCCCCUUAGCUAGAACACAGUUAAGCUUUCUUCCCCACCCCUCCACUGGAAGAAAGUGUUUCAGGGUGUGGCUUUUGCUUUUUACAUCCCUCUAUAUUUUAUUGCGUUCGAGUACCUCGAAC
Cygnus olor (mute swan) is the source of this 3476-nucleotide long non-coding RNA. RefSeq lists it as uncharacterized. The record is from RefSeq and is a predicted model, not a curated record. Lineage: Eukaryota; Metazoa; Chordata; Aves; Anseriformes; Anatidae. The transcript has 2 exons.